RNAcentral lists this small RNA (2785 nucleotides) under Monomorium pharaonis (pharaoh ant). Its description in RNAcentral is "uncharacterized LOC105839114, transcript variant X1". Lineage: Eukaryota; Metazoa; Arthropoda; Insecta; Hymenoptera; Formicidae. The record is from RNAcentral.
ACUCCAAACGGCCUACGAUCUUGGUGUAUCCGACGGGUAAGGACACAAAGGACAUCAUUUCUAAUACUAAUUCUCGGCUGAAUUACACUGAAGCUGAAUUCUACUUUAUUAUCAGAGAUACAGGGCUCACAUCAUGUUACGCCGGAGAGCAUAAUCAUACCCAUCGUGUCCUGCAUUCUGGGGUUUCCGUUACUGGCGUUAAUGGUAAUUUGCUGCCUACGGAGGAGAGCGAAGCUCGCUCGUGAACGGGCCCGACGAAGGAACUGUGAUUUGGAUCAUGGCGCAUUGAGCCUCGUUCGUUUCAGUCCGGUUCAUCGCCUAGGUGAGCCCACCGAGUUUAAAAGUGAAACUGGGACACGCGCGCGCACGAGGAACAGAUAUUCGCCGCGUGAAUAGAAACACCGAAUGGAAAUUAAAUCGCCCGUGCAGAAUUAAAUCCGUGCCGGAUACAAACACCCCAAAUCAACUGCAAGAAAAUUAUUAAAUAAGUUUAUGACACAUUUUCCGAUACACGUAAAACUUUAGUUUUUUAAUUUACUAAUAUUAAUUACAUUCUUUAAUUUACUAAUACUAAUUAAUUAAAUUCUAUAUUUAUAGAAAUAAUUUAAAUUAAAUUAAUAAUUUAAUUUAAAUUAUUUCCAUAAAUAUACCAUAUAUCUAAUACAUUUAAAUAAAAUUGAAAUAUAAAAUAUUUAUAUUGCUGUUCGCUAGCUUUAUAAAAUAAGUGUAGUACGACUCAUUAAUAUUUUUAACGACAUGACGUUUAUUUGAAAAGGCGCUACAAAUUUAUCACAUUUAUAGAGGAAACGAGAAAUGAAAUGCAACAGCGUUUGCUCCAAUUUUUUCCCCGUUCUAAUAGUGGCUACGUUGUUUUUUAUCUCCUCUUUCUCUUUUCCCUCUAUGCAUUUUUCCUUGACUCUCUGACUGACUGAGUACACGCACACGCAGGUAUGCUCCCUCGCGGCGGCAUAUAAAUGCGCUCGAUAUAGAGGUAAUGCGCGACCAUUGGCACAAACAUAAAGAGGGUAAAAGAGGCUCUACAGCAGAUUGAAUUCCAGUUUCAACAUUCGAAUUCAUGCACUGACGGAUAUUUUUAGCUGGAAACUAUGGUGGACGCGCAUAGCCGAUUAUUUCUAUUCGAAAGCAAAUACUCGAAAAAUUCCCAGUUAAAUCCUCGUCUCGCUCUUUUUAGCAGGAAAUAGUCCAGGCAUUAUAUAAAGUGUCAAAAAAAAAAAAAACAAUGUAUGAAAUAUCGUUCUAGACUUGCGCUUAAGUUUAUCGGAUUAUUUAUUAAUCUCGAAAUGAAGUUUGCAAAACAAUCCUCAAAGUAGCAAAGGUUGUGGGAAUCACCGAGCUAGAUAAAUUUUUUUUACAGCAGAAAGAAAUAAAUUUCUUUUCAUCCGAAAAAAACCCGGAUAUCGCACGCGGGUAUCGCAACAAAACGGAUCUAUCGCAUCGUGAUAUCAAAAAUUGGAUCUUACGUCGUUCAUUGAUAAUCCAUUUCCGCACGUACAAAGCGAUGCAUAAAAUACGGCGCUCCGGAGCGCCAUUUCUCUCGUGCGACAUCUUAUCCGGAUGCGAUUUCACGUAUUAUAUGUACAUGUGCACUUCCGCGCGAUCGAGGGAGUGAGCAUCCGAGGGGAUGACCGCGUUAUCAUCUCUCCGCCCGCUUUCAUAUCUAAAAUUCACAUUACGUCGAAAAGUUUUUAUUAUCUGGCAUCCAGUUUUUUUUUUUUUUUUUUUUUUGGUCGUCGGGGAAACGACAACGCGGCAGCAAAUAUACGGCAAUAAACGUCGUUUUCGCAUAAAGCAGUAUUAGCAUUUACAUCGCUAAUGCACUCCAACAUCCUCCAUUUACAUAUUGUUUGCAGAAGUAUCGGUAAACAAUCGCGUGGCACGACAAACUAAUUUGUUCGCGUUAUCAUCACUCAAAAUCGCCUGCAUAUACGCAGGUGUGUAAAAUUAAUAAUAACACGUGUAUUAUACAAGCAGUUUAAUUCAGAAUUGUGAUGAGCAGUGUGAUGAGUGCACCGAUUUCAAAGGGCCUGGUCGCAAAGAGAAGGACAUUAAAUUCUUCUCGUUAAUUAAUGCAGAUAUCAUUUUAAUUAACGGACAAUAUAUCUAAUAAAUAAAUGCAUAAUUAACGAAAUUACCUGAACAUAUAACAUACGUAUUUCAUCAUUAAAUAUCACCCAAACUCGUAACUUACAAUUAAUGAAAGCAUAAUAUGACGAAAAUUGUUUAUGUACACGAAAAUAACGGAUCUACCGAAAUGCAUAAAAAUUUAACGAGAUAUGCAAAUAAUUUUGUUGUCUUUUGACAUCGAAAUAAUUGUGCAGAACACUCAAGCAUAACGACCCAUGCAAAAAGUAUUGACGUUCCAGUAAGCGGCUUAAGCGUCCUACGUAAUUAUUUUGACGGUGCAUUCAGCAAAAGUUAUUUUUAGAUCUAGUUUUAGCUAAAUUUUUUUUAUACUUUAGCAAAACCGUUCCUUCCAUGUAAUAUAUGUCUCUUCAUAACUCUUCAUAACUUUUAUUAUAUAAUCUAAUGUAAAUUUACUUUUCUUAAUUUACCUGCAUUUUUAGAAUUUCUUAAUAUAAUUUAAAAUUGCAGAUAAUAAUAUAUUCCUGCUACUAUUAGAAAAGAAUUUUUAAUAAUACAUAAAAAUAGAGAUAAAACAACGUUAAAAAUAUAGGUUAAAUUCUUCACUAAAUUCUCGAUAAGACUUUCUUAAUAUACGCGUUGAUUUAAAAGGCAAUUUCUCUGUGUGUAUCAGCAAAAAAAA